CUGUGAGCUCGAUGAGUAGGGCGGGACACGUGGUAUCCUGUCUGAAUAUGGGGGGACCAUCCUCCAAGGCUAAAUACUCCUGACUGACCGAUAGUGAACCAGUACCGUGAGGGAAAGGCGAAAAGAACCCCGGCGAGGGGAGUGAAAAAGAACCUGAAACCGUGUACGUACAAGCAGUGGGAGCACAGAGCAAUCUGUGUGACUGCGUACCUUUUGUAUAAUGGGUCAGCGACUUAUAUUCUGUAGCAAGGUUAACCGAAUAGGGGAGCCGAAGGGAAACCGAGUCUUAACUGGGCGUUAAGUUGCAGGGUAUAGACCCGAAACCCGGUGAUCUAGCCAUGGGCAGGUUGAAGGUUGGGUAACACUAACUGGAGGACCGAACCGACUAAUGUUGAAAAAUUAGCGGAUGACUUGUGGCUGGGGGUGAAAGGCCAAUCAAACCGGGAGAUAGCUGGUUCUCCCCGAAAGCUAUUUAGGUAGCGCCUCGUGAAUUCAUCUCCGGGGGUAGAGCACUGUUUCGGCAAGGGGGUCAUCCCGACUUACCAACCCGAUGCAAACUGCGAAUACCGGAGAAUGUUAUCACGGGAGACACACGGCGGGUGCUAACGUCCGUCGUGAAGAGGGAAACAACCCAGACCGCCAGCUAAGGUCCCAAAGUCAUGGUUAAGUGGGAAACGAUGUGGGAAGGCCCAGACAGCCAGGAUGUUGGCUUAGAAGCAGCCAUCAUUUAAAGAAAGCGUAAUAGCUCACUGGUCGAGUCGGCCUGCGCGGAAGAUGUAACGGGGCUAAACCAUGCACCGAAGCUGCGGCAGCGACGCUUAUGCGUUGUUGGGUAGGGGAGCGUUCUGUAAGCCUGUGAAGGUGUACUGUGAGGUAUGCUGGAGGUAUCAGAAGUGCGAAUGCUGACAUAAGUAACGAUAAAGCGGGUGAAAAGCCCGCUCGCCGGAAGACCAAGGGUUCCUGUCCAACGUUAAUCGGGGCAGGGUGAGUCGACCCCUAAGGCGAGGCCGAAAGGCGUAGUCGAUGGGAAACAGGUUAAUAUUCCUGUACUUGGUGUUACUGCGAAGGGGGGACGGAGAAGGCUAUGUUGGCCGGGCGACGGUUGUCCCGGUUUAAGCGUGUAGGCUGGUUUUCCAGGCAAAUCCGGAAAAUCAAGGCUGAGGCGUGAUGACGAGGCACUACGGUGCUGAAGCAACAAAUGCCCUGCUUCCAGGAAAAGCCUCUAAGCAUCAGGUAACAUCAAAUCGUACCCCAAACCGACACAGGUGGUCAGGUAGAGAAUACCAAGGCGCUUGAGAGAACUCGGGUGAAGGAACUAGGCAAAAUGGUGCCGUAACUUCGGGAGAAGGCACGCUGAUAUGUAGGUGAAGUCCCUCGCGGAUGGAGCUGAAAUCAGUCGAAGAUACCAGCUGGCUGCAACUGUUUAUUAAAAACACAGCACUGUGCAAACACGAAAGUGGACGUAUACGGUGUGACGCCUGCCCGGUGCCGGAAGGUUAAUUGAUGGGGUCAGCGCAAGCGAAGCUCUUGAUCGAAGCCCCGGUAAACGGCGGCCGUAACUAUAACGGUCCUAAGGUAGCGAAAUUCCUUGUCGGGUAAGUUCCGACCUGCACGAAUGGCGUAAUGAUGGCCAGGCUGUCUCCACCCGAGACUCAGUGAAAUUGAACUCGCUGUGAAGAUGCAGUGUACCCGCGGCAAGACGGAAAGACCCCGUGAACCUUUACUAUAGCUUGACACUGAACAUUGAGCCUUGAUGUGUAGGAUAGGUGGGAGGCUUUGAAGUGUGGACGCCAGUCUGCAUGGAGCCGACCUUGAAAUACCACCCUUUAAUGUUUGAUGUUCUAACGUGGACCCGUAAUCCGGGUUGCGGACAGUGUCUGGUGGGUAGUUUGACUGGGGCGGUCUCCUCCUAAAGAGUAACGGAGGAGCACGAAGGUUGGCUAAUCCUGGUCGGACAUCAGGAGGUUAGUGCAAUGGCAUAAGCCAGCUUGACUGCGAGCGUGACGGCGCGAGCAGGUGCGAAAGCAGGUCAUAGUGAUCCGGUGGUUCUGAAUGGAAGGGCCAUCGCUCAACGGAUAAAAGGUACUCCGGGGAUAACAGGCUGAUACCGCCCAAGAGUUCAUAUCGACGGCGGUGUUUGGCACCUCGAUGUCGGCUCAUCACAUCCUGGGGCUGAAGUAGGUCCCAAGGGUAUGGCUGUUCGCCAUUUAAAGUGGUACGCGAGCUGGGUUUAGAACGUCGUGAGACAGUUCGGUCCCUAUCUGCCGUGGGCGCUGGAGAACUGAGGGGGGCUGCUCCUAGUACGAGAGGACCGGAGUGGACGCAUCACUGGUGUUCGGGUUGUCAUGCCAAUGGCACUGCCCGGUAGCUAAAUGCGGAAGAGAUAAGUGCUGAAAGCAUCUAAGCACGAAACUUGCCCCGAGAUGAGUUCUCCCUGAC
RNAcentral lists this ribosomal RNA (2439 nucleotides) under Escherichia coli. RNAcentral's name for it is "partial 23S ribosomal RNA". It matches the Rfam family "Bacterial large subunit ribosomal RNA", at positions 397 to 2819 of the family's 2925-position model. Lineage: Bacteria; Pseudomonadati; Pseudomonadota; Gammaproteobacteria; Enterobacterales; Enterobacteriaceae. The record is from RNAcentral.